AACUAACAAGGAUUCCCCUAGUAGCGGCGAGCGAAGCGGGAAGAGCUCAAAUUUAUAAUCUGGCACUUUCAGUGUCCGAGUUGUAAUCUCUAGAAGUGUUUUCCGCGUUGGACCGCACACAAGUCUGUUGGAAUACAGCGGCACAGUGGUGACACCCCCGUACACGGUGCGGACGCCCAGCGCUUUGUGAUACACUUUCGAAGAGUCGAGUUGUUUGGGAAUGCAGCUCAAAUUGGGUGGUAAAUUCCAUCUAAAGCUAAAUAUUGGCGAGAGACCGAUAGCGAACAAGUACCGUGAGGGAAAGAUGAAAAGCACUUUGGAAAGAGAGUUAACAGUACGUGAAAUUGUUGGAAGGGAAACGCUUGAAGUCAGACUUGCUUGCCGGAGCUUGCUUCGGUUUGCAGGCCAGCAUC
RNAcentral lists this ribosomal RNA (413 nucleotides) under Rhodotorula paludigena. RNAcentral's name for it is "LSU rRNA". It matches the Rfam family "Eukaryotic large subunit ribosomal RNA", at positions 63 to 474 of the family's 3401-position model. The record is from RNAcentral. Lineage: Eukaryota; Fungi; Basidiomycota; Microbotryomycetes; Sporidiobolales; Sporidiobolaceae.